GAUGAAGAACGCAGCGAAAUGCGAUAAGUAAUGUCAAUUGCAGAAUUCAGUGAAUCAUCGAAUCUUUGAACGCACAUUGCGCCCCUUGGUAUUCCGAGGGGCAUGCCUGUUCGAGCGUCAUUAUAACCCCUCAAGCUCAGCUUGGUGUUGGGGCCUGCUGCACUGGCAGCCCUUAAAAUCAGUGGCGGCGCCAUCUGGCUCUAAGCGUAGUAAUUCUUCUCGCUAUGGAGUCCUGGUGGAUGCUUGCCAUCAACCCCCAAUUUUUCUAUGGUUGACCUCGGAUCAGGUAGGGAUACCCGCUGAACUUAAGCAUAUCAAUAAGCGGAGGA
Molecule: unclassified non-coding RNA, 329 nt
Filed under: soil metagenome
Description: partial contains 5.8S ribosomal RNA, internal transcribed spacer 2, and large subunit ribosomal RNA
Rfam family: 5.8S ribosomal RNA (bases 1-120)
Source: RNAcentral